Molecule: ribosomal RNA, 421 nt
Filed under: uncultured archaeon
Lineage: Archaea
Description: partial 16S ribosomal RNA
Rfam family: Archaeal small subunit ribosomal RNA
Source: RNAcentral
CUACGGGGUGCAGCAGUUAGGAAUAUUCUACAAUGCGCGCAAGCGUGAUAGAUUGAGCCAGAGUGUUUUUCAAAUGAAAAGCUUUUGUGAAAUGUAAAAAGUUUCACGAAUAAGGACUGGGUAAGACUAGUGCCAGCCGCCGCGGUAAUACUAGCGGUCCAAGUCGCAGCCAUUUUUAUUGGGUCUAAAACAUCCGUAGCUUGCUUAAUAAGUUCCUUGUGAAAUUUUAUCUUUCAAAGAUAGAGCGUGCAAGAAAUACUGUUAAGCUAGAGACUGGAAGACGUAACGAGUACGUUCGGAGUAGCGGUAAAAUGUGUUAAUCCCGGACGGACUAACAACAGCGAAGGCACGUUACGAGGACAGUUCUGACAGUAAGGGAUGAAGGCUAGGGGCGCAAAACGGAUUAGAUACCCCAGUAGUC